CCCGGCCACUAGUGUACUGCAGCUGGGCAGGCACACUCCUCGCAGACCCGGCGCUCUCCAAGGAGAAAAGAAAGUUAGUGGGCUUGGGGCACAGAUUUUCCAGCCUCCCUAAGAAAUGAAAGGUUCGCGUGCCCUUCACCUCCCUCCCUGCUUUCCAGCGUCCUCAGCGCCUCCCCGAACAGCCAGACAGUGGAGCGCCCCGUGUUGGGGAGAGGAGGGGAGCAGACGCCUCCGAAGUUUGGAAAAGUUACACAGGG
Molecule: long non-coding RNA, 257 nt
Filed under: Homo sapiens (human)
Lineage: Eukaryota; Metazoa; Chordata; Mammalia; Primates; Hominidae
Description: PREDICTED lncRNA (TCONS_00158433)
Source: RNAcentral